Molecule: ribosomal RNA, 445 nt
Filed under: uncultured bacterium
Lineage: Bacteria
Description: SSU rRNA
Rfam family: Bacterial small subunit ribosomal RNA
Source: RNAcentral
AGAGCGAACGCUGGCGGCAGGCCUAAAACAUGCAAGUCGAACGGACCCUUCGGGGUUAGUGGCGGACGGGUGAGUAACACGUGGGAGCGUGCCUUUUGGUUCAGAACAACUCAGGGAAACUUGAGCUAAUACUGAAUAAGCCCUACGGGGGAAAGAUUUAUCGCCAUUAGAGCGGCCCGCGUUGGAUUAGCUAGUUGGUGAGGUAAAGGCUCACCAAGGCUACGAUCCAUAGCUGGUCUGAGAGGAUGAUCAGCCACACUGGGACUGAGACACGGCCCAGACUCCUACGGGAGGCAGCAGUUAGGAAUCUUGCGCAAUGGGCGAAAGCCUGACGCAGCCAUGCCGCGUGAAUGAUGAAGGUCUUAGGAUUGUAAAAUUCUUUCAGCGGGGAAGAUAAUGACUGUACCCGCAGAAGAGCUCCGGCUAACUUCGUGCCAGCAGCCGC